Molecule: ribosomal RNA, 959 nt
Filed under: uncultured candidate division CAB-I bacterium
Lineage: Bacteria
Description: bacterial SSU rRNA
Rfam family: Bacterial small subunit ribosomal RNA
Source: RNAcentral
GAGUUUGAUCCUGGCUCAGGAUGAACGCACAAGACGUGCCUAACACAUGCAAAUCGAAUGAAAAGAAUUAAUUAUUGUUUUCAUGGUGAACGGGUGAGUAACACAUAAGAAUCAGCUUUUAGAUAAGGCAUAAAAGAGUAAUAUCUUGGUAAUUCCUUAUAUGCGCAGCAGUGCUUAAAAAGGGGAGUCCCGUCUAAAAACGAGCUUAUGCCUGAUUAGCUAGUUGGCGAGUUAAAAGCUCACCAAGGCGAAGAUCAGUAGCUGGCCUGAGAGGGCGGCCAGCCACAUUGGGACUGAGACACGGCCCAAACUCCUACGGGAGGCAGCAGUGGGGAAUCUUCUGCAAUGGGCGCAAGCCUGACAGAGCGGCGUCGUGUGAAGGAAGAAGGCCUGAAAUAGGUUGUAAACUUCUUUUACUGAGUAAUGAAUAAUGACAACGCAGUAAAAAAGUAUCGGCUAACUCCGUGCCAGCAGCCGCGGUAAUACGGGGGAUGCAAGCGUUAUCCGGAAUCACUGGGCGUAAAGCGUCUGUAGGUGGUUUAGUGUGUUCUUAGUUAAAUUAUGAAGCCUAACUUCAUGAAAAGUGAGAAAACUAUUAGACUUGAGUACGAUAGGGGUAAGAGGAAUUCUUCGAGAAGUAGUGAAAUGCGAAGAUACGAAGGAGAAGAUCAUAAGCGAAGGCUUCUUACUGGGUCGUAACUGACACUGAGAGACGAAAGCUAGGGGAGCGAAUGGGAUUAGAUACCCCAGUAGUCCUAGCUGUAAACGAUGGAUAUUCGGUGCCGGAAAUUUUAUUAGAACAUUUCGGUACCCUAGCUAACGCGUUAAAUAUCCCGCCUGAGGAGUACGCUCGCAAGGGUGAAACUCAAAGGAAUUGACGGGGGCUCGCACAAGCGGUGGAGCAUGUGGUUUAAUUCGAUGCAAAGCGAAGAACCUUACCAGGGCUUGACAGUAUGUAU